RNAcentral lists this ribosomal RNA (394 nucleotides) under uncultured bacterium. RNAcentral describes it as "bacterial SSU rRNA". It matches the Rfam family "Bacterial small subunit ribosomal RNA", at positions 29 to 416 of the family's 1533-position model. The record is from RNAcentral.
AUUGAACGCUGGCGGCAUGCCUAACACAUGCAAGUCGAACGGCAGCACGGCAGUAGCAAUACUGUGGGUGGCGAGUGGCGGACGGGUGAGGAAUACGUCGGAAUCUGCCCAGUCGUGGGGGAUAACUAGCCGAAAGGUUAGCUAAUACCGCAUACGACCGAGAGGUGAAAGCGGGGGGACCGCAAGGGCCUCGCGCGAUUGGAUGAGCCGACGUCGGAUUAGCUAGUUGGUGGGGUAAAGGCCUACCAAGGCGACGAUCCGUAGCUGGUCUGAGAGGAUGAUCAGCCACACUGGAACUGAGACACGGUCCAGACUCCUACGGGAGGCAGCAGUGGGGAAUAUUGGACAAUGGGCGCAAGCCUGAUCCAGCAAUGCCGCGUGUGUGAAGAAGGCC